UCUGCAGUUUUUGAACGCGUC
Molecule: non-coding RNA, 21 nt
Organism: Caenorhabditis elegans
Lineage: Eukaryota; Metazoa; Nematoda; Chromadorea; Rhabditida; Rhabditidae
Source: Ensembl